This 477-nucleotide ribosomal RNA is filed under the name uncultured bacterium. RNAcentral describes it as "partial 16S ribosomal RNA". It matches the Rfam family "Bacterial small subunit ribosomal RNA", at positions 28 to 507 of the family's 1533-position model. The record is from RNAcentral.
GAUGAACGCUAGCGGCAGGCCUAACACAUGCAAGUCGAGGGAGAAGCCCUUUCGGGGGCAGAAACCGGCGCACGGGUGCGUAACGCGUAUGCAACCUACCUUUCACAGGGGAUAGCCCGAAGAAAUUUGGAUUAAUACCCCAUAAUAUUAUUGGAUGGCAUCAUUUGAUAAUUAAAACUGCGGUGGUGAAAGAUGGGCAUGCGUCCUAUUAGCUAGUUGGAGUGGUAACGGCACCCCAAGGCUACGAUAGGUAGGGGUCCUGAGAGGGAGAUCCCCCACACUGGUACUGAGACAGGGACCAGACUCCUACGGGAGGCAGCAGUGAGGAAUAUUGGUCAAUGGUCGGAAGACUGAACCAGCCAUGCCGCGUGCAGGAAGAAUGCCUUAUGGGUUGUAAACUGCUUUUAUAUGGGAAGAAUAAGGUGUACGUGUACAUUGAUGACGGUACCAUAUGAAUAAGCAUCGGCUAACUCCGUG